RNAcentral lists this ribosomal RNA (1343 nucleotides) under uncultured bacterium. Its description in RNAcentral is "16S ribosomal RNA". It matches the Rfam family "Bacterial small subunit ribosomal RNA", at positions 28 to 1378 of the family's 1533-position model. The record is from RNAcentral.
GACGAACGCUGGCGGCGUGCUUAACACAUGCAAGUCGAACGGAAAGGCCCUGCUUUUGUGGGGUGCUCGAGUGGCGAACGGGUGAGUAACACGUGAGUAACCCGCCCUUGACUUUGGGAUAACUUCAGGAAACUGGGGCUAAUACCGGAUAGGAGCUCCUGCUGCAUGGUGGGGGUUGGAAAGUUUCGGCGGUUGGGGAUGGACUCGCGGCUUAUCAGCUUGUUGGUGGGGUAGUGGCUUACCAAGGCUUUGACGGGUAGCCGGCCUGAGAGGGUGACCGGCCACAUUGGGACUGAGAUACGGCCCAGACUCCUACGGGAGGCAGCAGUGGGGAAUAUUGCACAAUGGGCGGAAGCCUGAUGCAGCAACGCCGCGUGCGGGAUGACGGCCUUCGGGUUGUAAACCGCUUUCGCCUGUGACGAAGCGUGAGUGACGGUAAUGGGUAAAGAAGCACCGGCUAACUACGUGCCAGCAGCCGCGGUGAUACGUAGGGUGCGAGCGUUGUCCGGAUUUAUUGGGCGUAAAGGGCUCGUAGGUGGUUGAUCGCGUCGGAAGUGUAAUCUUGGGGCUUAACCCUGAGCGUGCUUUCGAUACGGGUUGACUUGAGGAAGGUAGGGGAGAAUGGAAUUCCUGGUAGAGCGGUGGAAUGCGCAGAUAUCAGGAGGAACACCAGUGGCGAAGGCGGUUCUCUGGGCCUUUCCUGACGCUGAGGAGCGAAAGCGUGGGGAGCGAACAGGCUUAGAUACCCUGGUAGUCCACGCUGUAAACGGUGGGUACUAGGUGUGGGGUCCAUUCCACGGGUUCCGUGCCGUAGCUAACGCUUUAAGUACCCCGCCUGGGGAGUACGGCCGCAAGGCUAAAACUCAAAGGAAUUGACGGGGCCCCGCACAAGCGGCGGAGCAUGCGGAUUAAUUCGAUGCAACGCGUAGAACCUUACCUGGGUUUGACAUGGAUCGGGAGUGCUCAGAGAUGGGUGUGCCUCUUUUGGGGUCGGUUCACAGGUGGUGCAUGGCUGUCGUCAGCUCGUGUCGUGAGAUGUUGGGUUAAGUCCCGCAACGAGCGCAACCCUUGUUCACUGUUGCCAGCACGUUAUGGUGGGGACUCAGUGGAGACCGCCGGGGUCAACUCGGAGGAAGGUGGGGAUGACGUCAAGUCAUCAUGCCCCUUAUGUCCAGGGCUUCACGCAUGCUACAAUGGCUGGUACAGAGAGUGGCGAGCCUGUGAGGGUGAGCGAAUCUCGGAAAGCCGGUCUCAGUUCGGAUUGGGGUCUGCAACUCGACCUCAUGAAGUCGGAGUCGCUAGUAAUCGCAGAUCAGCAACGCUGCGGUGAAUACGUUCCCGGG